GACGAACGCUGGCGGCGUGCUUAACACAUGCCAGUCGAACGGAAAGGCCCUGCUUUUGUGGGGUGCUCGAGUGGCGAACGGGUGAGUAACACGUGAGUAACCUGCCCUUGACUUUGGGAUAACUUCAGGAAACUGGGGCUAAUACCGGAUAGGAGCUCCUGCUGCAUGGUGGGGGUUGGAAAGUUUCGGCGGUUGGGGAUGGACUCGCGGCUUAUCAGCUUGUUGGUGGGGUAGUGGCUUACCAAGGCUUUGACGGGUAGCCGGCCUGAGAGGGUGACCGGCCACAUUGGGACUGAGAGAGGGCCCAGACUCCUACGGGAGGCAGCAGUGGGGAAUAUUGCACAAUGGGCGGAAGCCUGAUGCGGCAACGCCGCGUGCGGGAUGACGGCCUUCGGGUUGUAAACCGCUUUCGCCUGUGACGAAGCGUGAGUGACGGUAAUGGGUAAAGAAGCACCGGCUAACUACGUG
RNAcentral lists this ribosomal RNA (468 nucleotides) under uncultured bacterium. RNAcentral describes it as "partial 16S ribosomal RNA". It matches the Rfam family "Bacterial small subunit ribosomal RNA", at positions 28 to 507 of the family's 1533-position model. The record is from RNAcentral.